UCAUUCCUCUGCCACUAGCUACCACUUUUUUCUUUCGUCCCCUCUCUUGGCUCUUCACCUGAAGUAUCUUUUUGGCCCCAUCAAUUUCAUAUCAAAACUUUCAACACAUUUUCUUAUGCCUCUUAAUUAUUUUUAUAAUCUAGUACUAGUAAAUCAUAGAAACAUGGCAUUUGAAGAAAAAUAUAUCACAUUUCACUAAUUUCCAGAUAUG
RNAcentral lists this long non-coding RNA (211 nucleotides) under Cicer arietinum (chickpea). RNAcentral describes it as "long non-coding RNA (CARI_LNC001804)". The record is from RNAcentral. Lineage: Eukaryota; Viridiplantae; Streptophyta; Magnoliopsida; Fabales; Fabaceae.